UGGGAUAUCCAGCUGUGGGCCAUGGCAAC
Molecule: non-coding RNA, 29 nt
Filed under: Mus musculus (house mouse)
Lineage: Eukaryota; Metazoa; Chordata; Mammalia; Rodentia; Muridae
Source: RNAcentral